AUCCCUCUUGCUGUGUUUGGUUGGAGGGUCGUGCACUGACAGUGGGCAGGUUGUUUGCUGGUUGGUGUGUGCUGGUGGAAGCGUAUGAUCGUGUGAGUGGUGUGAGCAUGCUUUUGGGUUCCCUGACUGCGACUGUGGUCAGUGGACACUCACGCUGAUAAUCCUGGUCUUUUUGGGCUUGUGGUUGUUGGUGUGUGGUUGGUGGUUUGAGAACUGGAUAGUGGACGCGAGAGACGCACACCCGGUGUGGUGUGUGUUCUUGUAAUGUGAUUUCUUUUGUAUUGUUUAGUGAUCAUUAUUGUGUGAUGUUGUCUGGUGUCGCUGGAUUUGCUUGUGGGUGACUGUUGUGGUUGCCUGUGUAUGGGCGUAUGGUGGAUGCCUUGGCACCAGA
Molecule: unclassified non-coding RNA, 391 nt
Filed under: Galliscardovia ingluviei
Lineage: Bacteria; Bacillati; Actinomycetota; Actinomycetes; Bifidobacteriales; Bifidobacteriaceae
Description: partial contains 16S-23S ribosomal RNA intergenic spacer and 23S ribosomal RNA
Source: RNAcentral